This 451-nucleotide ribosomal RNA is filed under the name uncultured bacterium. RNAcentral's name for it is "partial 16S ribosomal RNA". It matches the Rfam family "Bacterial small subunit ribosomal RNA", at positions 29 to 523 of the family's 1533-position model. The record is from RNAcentral.
AACGAACGCUGGCGGCAGGCCUAACACAUGCAAGUCGAACGGACGUAGCAAUACGUUAGUGGCUCACGGGAGAGUAACGCGUGGGAACCUACCUUUUGGUUCGGGAUAACAUCGGGAAACUGGUGCUAAUACCGGAUAAGCCCUUCGGGGGAAAGAUUUAUUGCCGAAAGAUGGGCCCGCGUUGGAUUAGCUAGUUGGUGAGGUAAUGGCUCACCAAGGCAACGAUCCAUAGCUGGUCUGAGAGGAUGAUCAGCCUCACUGGGACUGAGACUCGGCCCAGACUCCUACGGGAGGCAGCAGUGGGGAAUAUUGGACAAGGGUGGAAACCCUGAUCCAGCCAUGCCGCGUGAAUGAUGAAGGCCUUCGGGUUGUAAAGUUCUUUUGGUGGGGACGAUGAUGACGGUACCCACAGAAUAAGCUCCGGCUAACUUCGUGCCAGCAGCCGCGGUAA